AUAGCGAACAAGUACCGUGAGGGAAAGUUGAAAAGCACUCUGGAGAGAGAGUCAAAAGACCGUGAAACCGCUCAGAGUAUAAGCCCAUGGCAGCUUGGAAGGCAUAUCGCUAGCGGGGCAUCGGUCUCCCUUCACGGGGAGCUGGUGUUACCUUGCUUCUGUUGUGGCUCGUUAUGGUAGGGGGGUCGAGUCCACAUCCCGCCGGCGUGUGGGGAGUUCUUGGGCGCGUUGUGGCUUUGCGGUUGACCUCGGUUGGCCGUGGGGCUCUUCGUGCUUGGUUCUUCUUUAGACACGGACGUUCAGACUCAGUUGCAAGACGCGAUAACCAGCCCACCACGGCACGUUGUGAGGUCACCCACAGGCUCGACUUUCGAUUGUGGUCCUUGACGCCGAGCAAGCACUGUGCGUGUCGCAGAUGUUCCUAACCGGGCAAAACUCGUUUGUCAGGAUCGUGGAACGACACGCGCUCAACAGUCAGGACCGGGCGAUGACAGAGUUCUGGUACGAUCCUCAUGCGACGAGCCGCCUCUGGCCGAUUUUCCGAUGCUCAGGUCUCCCGCAUGUGCCGCGGGAGAUCGCUUUGACGGUCUGGAGUUUCCACAAGUCCUCUCAGUCGGGCAACGGAAAGAGUGGUGUAAAGUCCAAGCCCAUCGGUCACGUCUCGAAACACGGGCCAAGGAGUAUAGCAUGUGUGCAAGUCUAAGGGUCUCACAAAACCUGAAGGCGAAGUGAAAGCAAGUAAGCGGCGGGUGAUCUA
This 757-nucleotide ribosomal RNA is filed under the name Gammarus sp. SAF2. RNAcentral describes it as "partial 28S ribosomal RNA". It matches the Rfam family "Eukaryotic large subunit ribosomal RNA", at positions 337 to 747 of the family's 3401-position model. The record is from RNAcentral. Lineage: Eukaryota; Metazoa; Arthropoda; Malacostraca; Amphipoda; Gammaridae.